RNAcentral lists this ribosomal RNA (538 nucleotides) under uncultured eukaryote. RNAcentral describes it as "SSU rRNA". It matches the Rfam family "Eukaryotic small subunit ribosomal RNA", at positions 619 to 1157 of the family's 1831-position model. The record is from RNAcentral.
UUAAAAAGCUCGUAGUUGGAUCUCGGCGGGCAGGGGGUGGUUCGCUCUUCAGCGCUACUGCCCCGCUUUGCCCGUGUGAUUGGCGGAGGUUUCGGGGUGCUCUUCGUUGAGUGACUCGGAGCGCCGUCAGGUUUACUUUGAAAAAAUUAGAGUGCUCAAAGCAGGCUUUUCACGCUUGAAUAUUCGUGCAUGGAAUAAUGGAAUAGGAACUCGUUUCUAUUUUGUUGGUUUUCGGAAAUCGAGUUAAUGAUUAACAGGGACAAUUGGGGGCAUUAGUAUUCAGACGACAGAGGUGAAAUUCUUGGACCGUCUGAAGACUGACUACUGCGAAAGCAUUUGCCAAGAGUGUUUUCAUUAAUCAAGAACGAAAGUUAGAGGUUCGAAGGCGAUCAGAUACCGCCCUAGUUCUAACCAUAAACGGUGCCAGCUAGCGAUCUGCCGAGUUUUUUUUGUAGGCUCCGCAGGAAGCUUUCGGGAAACCAAAGCUUUUGGGUUCCGGGGGAAGUAUGGUUGCAAGCUGAAACUUAAAGGAAUUGAC